This 466-nucleotide ribosomal RNA is filed under the name uncultured bacterium. Its description in RNAcentral is "partial 16S ribosomal RNA". It matches the Rfam family "Bacterial small subunit ribosomal RNA", at positions 28 to 507 of the family's 1533-position model. The record is from RNAcentral.
GAUGAACGCUGGCGGCGUGCUUAACACAUGCAAGUCGAACGAUGAAGCUCAGCUUGCUGGGUGGAUUAGUGGCGAACGGGUGAGUAACACGUGAGUAACCUGCCCUUCACUCUGGGAUAAGCCUGGGUAACUAGGUCUAAUACCGGAUAGGAGCUCCUUCCGCAUGGUGGGUGUUGGAAUUAUUUGUCGGUUUUGGAUGGACUCGCGGCCUAUCCGCUUGUUUGUGAGGUAAUGGCUCACCAAGGCCACGUCGGGUAGCCGGCCUGUGAGGGUGACCGGCCAAACGAGGACUGAGAGACGGACCAGACGAGAACGGGAGGCAACAGUGGGGAAUAGAGCAGAAUGGGAGAAAGCAAGAUGCAGAGACGCAGCGUGAGGGAAGACGGGCUUCGGGUUGUAAACCAAUUUCAGUAGGGAAGAAGCGAAAGUGACGGUACCUGCAGAAGAAGCACCGGCUAACUACGUG